This is a small nucleolar RNA of Gossypium arboreum, 106 nucleotides long. It matches the Rfam family "Plant small nucleolar RNA R71". From Rfam's summary of the family: R71 is a member of the C/D box family of snoRNAs containing the C (UGAUGA) and D (CUGA) box motifs. The record is from Rfam. Lineage: Eukaryota; Viridiplantae; Streptophyta; Magnoliopsida; Malvales; Malvaceae.
AUAUAGUGAUGUGGGCAUUUCCUAAGCAGUGGCUUGAAGCGUUCCCACGCUUCGUAUAACAUAUCGCCUUCUAAUUCUUAAAAUUAGAAAUGUCAUGCCUUAAUUG